This 477-nucleotide ribosomal RNA is filed under the name uncultured bacterium. RNAcentral describes it as "partial 16S ribosomal RNA". It matches the Rfam family "Bacterial small subunit ribosomal RNA", at positions 28 to 507 of the family's 1533-position model. The record is from RNAcentral.
GACGAACGCUGGCGGCGUGCUUAACACAUGCAAGUCGAACGUGAUUUUUGUGGAAAUUCUUUCGGGAAUGGAAAUGAAAUGAAAGUGGCGAACGGGUGAGUAACACGUGAGCAACCUACCUUACACAGGGGGAUAGCCGUUGGAAACGACGAUUAAUACCGCAUGAGACCACAGAAUCGCAUGAUAUAGGGGUCAAAGAUUUAUCGGUGUAAGAAGGGCUCGCGUCUGAUUAGCUAGUUGGAAGGGUAAAGGCCUCCAAGGCGACGAUCAGUAGCCGGUCUGAGAGGAUGAACGGCCACAUUGGAACUGAGACACGGUCCAAACUCCUACGGGAGGCAGCAGUGGGGAAUAUUGCACAAUGGGGGGAACCCUGAUGCAGCGACGCCGCGUGAGCGAAGAAGGUUUUCGAAUCGUGAAGCUCUGUCCUAUGAGAAGAUAAUGACGGUAUCAUAGGAGGAAGCCCCGGCUAAAUACGUG